AUUCAUGGUCAUAGCAGUCUACAGGGUGGUCAAGUACAUCUUCACAGACUUUGUGGCUCCGUUGGUGGGGUUUGUCAGGCAGACAGUUGUUACUAUCGUCAAAGACUAUUCCUCUGGAAGUCAGGUUCCUGCAGAUACCUUCUUCUUCAGAGAAAUAGUUGUCAGAGACGGUAAGGUUCUGCAGGCUAGGCAGAACGCAGACUCCAAGAGGGACAGCGCCAGUGAACAUGUUAUGGUCCAGAUUCAGCAGCUCAAGAUGUCCUAGCCCAGCGAGACUGUAAGGCACAGGACCAACUAAAGCCCUAGGACUCACCAAACCGGCCGAAUUGUGAGCUUUCGCUGGUCCUGGAGCCGGAGCAAGAGCUUCAGAUUCAGAAAGAACCACUCUCGGAGAAGGCGCAGGAGAUGACAAAGCCUGAUGGCUUGGAGACAGAGUCGAUGACGGUGAGGGCGAUGGAGAUGGCUGACGAGGACUGUGGCUGUGGUGGGCGGUGGACAUGACCUUGACGGGUAGCUUCUGACCUUUGAGACAAUUUUCUGAGUUGCCGCUGACAAAAAAGAACGGACCUGAGCGGCUAAGAACAUAGAGAGAGUCUCCGUCCGUGAGGGAGGUUAUUGGGUGAGUAGUGUUGCAUGUGUUGAAUUCUUCUUCACUCACCUCCAACACUGAAUCUUUCCCCUUAGGGUACUUAAAAUCUAGCAAAAUCAAAAGUCGAAUUAGUUGAUAUAUAGUAUCAUGAAUUAUGAUGUUACUAUUAUGACAUUAACACAUGAAUGUGUAUAUAGAAGAGGAGAGAGAGAGAGAGACUUACAAAGAGUGUCAUUGACCUGAAACCGGCUUCGAUAAGACCAAUGAGAAUAGUCCUCGGAUGGAGUAAGGACCCAACCAUCUCUCCCACCAACAUAGAACUUGUACCCAUUUGAAAACCCAAUUGCAAACCCCAAACUCACUAACAUCACAGUCAUCAAAUAAGCAUCAAACCUUUUGAUCAAACCCAUCUCUCCAAACUUUGACUAGACCUCAAAUAAAUCAGUCUCUUGAAAUGUGUGUUGCUCUUCAGUGCUUGUAUGCGUAUUUAUAGUGAAAGUAGAGAAGUCAUAGCCGUUAACUUUUGGCUGCAUCAACUUCGACUCUCUAGAGAAUAUGCAAAAUUAAUAAGAAGCGUUUCAAGUUUUGCUCCUCUCUUGUUUUCUUCACACGUUUUAACAUGCAAUGGACUUAACGGCCAUCUCUCUUCUUUUCACACUUUUUAUUUACUCCCUCCGCAAAUCACAAACAACCAUUUGAAACUAGAUCUUCUAAUUUGUCAGUCAUUUAAUAUAAAGGUGAAAUUCAAUUUUUUUUUAAAAAAUAACUUGCGUAACGUAUUGUCUUCAUUUUAUAUAAGAAAAAAGAGGUAUUAACUCUGGACAGAAAGUAUACAAAUGAGCUAAAAGCCUAAAAAACCAACUAGGAGUUCAAAAUAAUUAAAAAACUAAUGUGCUUUUGUAAAUGAUCAAGAAUGUUAAAAGAAAGGCUUUAAAGAUUUUAUCCUCUAUAUUUACAGCCCAACUAGUUGGACAAUAUUAGAAUAAACUUUUUACUAUUUUCAUGUAACAUAACACAUUUCUUUCUUUUUUUUGUCAACGUAACAUAACACAUUUCAUCCUCUACCUUUAAAGCCCAACUAUUUCUAUAAGUGGAUGGAUGCUUUCUUCAGUAUGCCUAGCUUAGAGAGGAGCUAAUUGUGAAGCUUCAAAAUAUUCUUCAGCCACGUAUAUUUAGCUUCUGAUACAGCCAACAAUCUUCUACUGCUUCCUCUACAGUCUGAAGAAAACCCAAACCCUAGUUUCACUAGAAGUUGUGAGAUGGAAAAGCUGGAACCUCUAGGGGUUUUGGGAUCAGAGUUCAAAACUCGAUAAUGGAGCGACCAGGUUUGUGUUUUAGAUUUAUCUUCUUAUCACUAUUGAGCUGAUCACACUUUAGUGAAAUGCCCACCAUUGACUAUAUUGAAGCUCUGUGAUAAUUGCUUGGCCUUUGUGGAACCAUGCUUUCUAAUUGAAUCUUUUGUCAAAUAAUUGUGGUAUGUUUUAGCUGUAUGUCAAACAAUAUGAAACAGGUGGUGCUGGUUCUUUUAGUAAAGACGGAUAGACACUUGUGUUCUGUAUAAACUGUAUAAUGUUACAAUCUUAAGUGAAUAUUCUUUCACCCACAACCCAAUCUUCCUCACAUUUCUUGUUCCUCCAUUUUCUUUGAAUCCCUAUGUGUAGGAUGGGGCAGGAGCAGGAGCAAGGGAAGGUCCUGCAGCAAACGGAGACGCCUGAGGAGCCACGGCUGAGCAUUCAUGGUCAUAGCAGUCUACAGGGUGGUCAAGUACAUCUUCACAGACUUUGUGGCUCCGUUGGUGGGGUUUGUCAGGCAGACAGUUGUUACUAUCGUCAAAGACUAUUCCUCUGGAAGUCAGGUUCCUGCAGAUACCUUCUUCUUCAGAGAAAUAGUUGUCAGAGACGGUAAGGUUCUGCAGGCUAGGCAGAACGCAGACUCCAAGAGGGACAGCGCCAGUGAACAUGUUAUGGUCCAGAUUCAGCAGCUCAAGAUGUCCUAGCCCAGCGAGACUGUAAGGCACAGGACCAACUAAAC
RNAcentral lists this long non-coding RNA (2620 nucleotides) under Brassica napus (rape). Its description in RNAcentral is "long non-coding RNA (BNAP_LNC000313)". The record is from RNAcentral. Lineage: Eukaryota; Viridiplantae; Streptophyta; Magnoliopsida; Brassicales; Brassicaceae.